RNAcentral lists this ribosomal RNA (522 nucleotides) under Pezizomycotina sp. SW25. RNAcentral describes it as "eukaryotic LSU rRNA". The stretch from base 163 to 316 matches the Rfam family "5.8S ribosomal RNA". The record is from RNAcentral. Lineage: Eukaryota; Fungi; Ascomycota.
GACCUGCGGAAGGAUCAUUAUCGUGGGGCUCCGGCCCCGUCGAGAUAGAACCCUUGCCUUUUCGAGUACCGUCCGUUUCCUCGGCAGGCCCGCCUGCCAACGGGGACCCCAAACAAACUCUUUUAUGUACCUGUACCCGUCUGAACAACAAACAAAAGUUAAAACUUUCAACAACGGAUCUCUUGGUUCUGGCAUCGAUGAAGAACGCAGCGAAAUGCGAUAAGUAGUGUGAAUUGCAGAAUUCAGUGAAUCAUCGAAUCUUUGAACGCACAUUGCGCCCUUUGGUAUUCCUUAGGGCAUGCCUGUUCGAGCGUCAUUGAAAACCUCAAGCUCGGCUUGGUGUUGGGCGCCUGUCCCCGCCCCCCGCGGGGACUCGCCUUAAAAUCAUUGGCGGCCGGUACAUUGGCUUCGAGCGCAGCAGAAACGCGAACUCGGGCCCGGUGGAUCGGCUCCCAGAAGCAACCCCUUCUCAGUGUGACCUCGGAUCAGGUAGGGAUACCCGCUGAACUUAAGCAUAUCAUA